Molecule: ribosomal RNA, 538 nt
Filed under: uncultured Bacillota bacterium
Lineage: Bacteria; Bacillati; Bacillota
Description: bacterial SSU rRNA
Rfam family: Bacterial small subunit ribosomal RNA
Source: RNAcentral
UGGCGGACGGGUGAGUAACGCGUGGGUAACCUGCCUCACACAGGGGGAUAACAGUUGGAAACGGCUGCUAAUACCGCAUAAGCGCACAGUACCGCGUGGUACAGUGUGAAAAACUCCGGUGGUGUGAGAUGGACCCGCGUCUGAUUAGCUAGUUGGCAGGGCAACGGCCUACCAAGGCGACGAUCAGUAGCCGACCUGAGAGGGUGACCGGCCACAUUGGGACUGAGACACGGCCCAAACUCCUACGGGAGGCAGCAGUGGGGAAUAUUGCACAAUGGGGGAAACCCUGAUGCAGCGACGCCGCGUGAGCGAAGAAGUAUUUCGGUAUGUAAAGCUCUAUCAGCAGGGAAGAAGAAAUGACGGUACCUGACUAAGAAGCACCGGCUAAAUACGUGCCAGCAGCCGCGGUAAUACGUAUGGUGCAAGCGUUAUCCGGAUUUACUGGGUGUAAAGGGAGCGCAGGCGGAAGGCUAAGUCUGAUGUGAAAGCCCGGGGCUCAACCCCGGUACUGCAUUGGAAACUGGUCAUCUAGAGUGUC